Molecule: long non-coding RNA, 1394 nt
Organism: Peromyscus leucopus (white-footed mouse)
Lineage: Eukaryota; Metazoa; Chordata; Mammalia; Rodentia; Cricetidae
Exons: 2
Source: RefSeq, a predicted model, not a curated record
GAGAAGCAGUGAGAGUUGGUGUGGGGAAGCCCAGGAUAUUUUUGCACAAACCACUUGUUCAAAGCCUGUUCUGAAGGAGCCUGACCCGCACAGGGAAGGAGAACUCAAGAGUCACAAGACCUCACUAGGCCCUGGGGUGCGGUCCUAGGCGACCAGAAUUCAGCAGUUCCUCCUACUGCUUGGCAGCAGCCCGGUCAGCAGGGGAGGCGACUGUUGGAGGAGAGCUGGGUUCCUGCCCAGACCAGGAGUGAGCGGCGGACUGCCACCCCAGACCAGGUGUGAGCAGCGGAAUGCCACCCCAGACCAGCGGACUGCCACCCCAGACCAGGAGUGAGCAGUGGACUGCCACCCAAGACCAGGUGUGAGCAGCGGACUGCCAUCCCAGACCAGCGGACUGCCACCGCAGACCAGGUGUGAGCAGCGGACUGCCACCCCAGACCAGGUGUGAGCAGCGGAAUGCCACCCCAGACCAGUGGACUGCCACCCCAGACCAGGUAUGAGCAGCGGACUGCCACCCCAGACCAGGUGUGAGCAGCGGACUGCCAUCCCAGACCAGCGGACUGCCACCCCAGACCAGGUGUGAGCAGCGGACUGCCACCCCAGACCAGGUGUGAGCAGCGGAAUGCCACCCCAGACCAGGUGUGAGCAGUGGAAUGCCACCCCAGACCAGGUGUGAGCAGCAGACUGCCACCCCAGACCAGGUGUGAGCAGCGGAAUGCCACCCCAGACCAGGUGUGAGCAGCGGAAUGCCACCCCAGACCAGGUGUGAGCAGCAGACUGCCACCCCAGACCAGGUGUGAGCAGCGGAAUGCCACCCCAGACCAGCGGACUGCCACCCCAGACCAGCGGAAUGCCACCCCAGACCAGGUGUGAGCAGCGGACUGCCACCCCAGAGCCAUGAGGUCUGCAGUCCUCUCAGCCUGGUCACUUGAUCCUCAUCCUUUCCCUUUCAGUGAGGAGGCUGUUUACUCCCAGAAAGUCAAUUGUUCCCAGAUCUCUCCCAACGGGUCACUGAGGCCCUGAGAACUCAUUCCAGACGAGUCCUGCUGGGCCCUCUCACCAAGGCUAUUCCUGAAUUCAGUCAGCAUCACACCUGAGGGGCAGAACUAUGGAGCUAGUUCUGUUCCCAUUCUUGAAGAAGGAAACUGAGGCUCAGGGAGACAGAGGAACUCUCCCAAGACUUCUCAACACAUGGGCAGAGACAGCACAGGUAUCAUUUCCCCCGAGAGACAAUCCAGUCUCUAGGACCCCAGCAUCACCUGGAAGUACCCCUUGCUAAGCCCAGCAGCGCCCCCACCCAUCUCCCUGCUUUAUGACCUGUUUUAUGAGCCAGAGGCCCGCCAGCUUCUGUGUUGCCAUGGAAACAAACCUCGAACAGAUAUCCUGGUUGCUCA